CACGUAGGGGACGAGCGUUGUCCGGAUUCAUUGGGCGUAAAGCGCGCGUAGGCGGCCCGGAAAGUCGGGUGUGAAAGCCCGGGGCUCAACCCCGGGACUGCAUCCGAUACUUCCGGGCUGGAGGCAGGUAGGGGAGAUCGGAAUUCCUGGUGUAGCGGUGAAAUGCGCAGAUAUCAGGAGGAACACCGGUGGCGAAGGCGGAUCUCUGGGCCUUGCCUGACGCUAAGGCGCGAAAGCUAGGGGAGCGAACAGG
This 253-nucleotide ribosomal RNA is filed under the name uncultured bacterium. RNAcentral describes it as "partial 16S ribosomal RNA". It matches the Rfam family "Bacterial small subunit ribosomal RNA", at positions 524 to 776 of the family's 1533-position model. The record is from RNAcentral.